CACCCCAUGCCGAUCAAUCUGUAGUCCUUCGGCCUUCUAAGCCGACGGUCGGGGGUUCGAAUCCCUCUGGGCAGGCCA
This 78-nucleotide transfer RNA is filed under the name Ralstonia solanacearum. RNAcentral describes it as "tRNA-Arg". The stretch from base 9 to 73 matches the Rfam family "tRNA". From Rfam's summary of the family: Transfer RNA (tRNA) molecules are approximately 80 nucleotides in length. Their secondary structure includes four short double-helical elements and three loops (D, anti-codon, and T loops). RNAcentral also lists the same sequence under 1 other name. Lineage: Bacteria; Pseudomonadati; Pseudomonadota; Betaproteobacteria; Burkholderiales; Burkholderiaceae. The record is from RNAcentral.